RNAcentral lists this ribosomal RNA (330 nucleotides) under uncultured Shuttleworthella sp. RNAcentral's name for it is "bacterial SSU rRNA". It matches the Rfam family "Bacterial small subunit ribosomal RNA", at positions 28 to 339 of the family's 1533-position model. Lineage: Bacteria; Bacillati; Bacillota; Clostridia; Lachnospirales; Lachnospiraceae. The record is from RNAcentral.
GAUGAACGCUGGCGGCGUGCUUAACACAUGCAAGUCGAACGAAGCUCUUUUGUGGAUCCCUUCGGGGUGAAGCAAGAGAUGACUGAGUGGCGGACGGGUGAGUAACGCGUGGGAAACCUACCUCAUACAGGGGGAUAACAGCCGGAAACGGCUGCUAAUACCGCAUAAGCGCACGGGAUGGCAUCAUCCAGUGUGAAAAGCUCCGACGGUAUGGGAUGGUCCCGCGUCUGAUUAGCCAGUUGGCGGGGUAACGGCCCACCAAAGCGACGAUCAGUAGCCGACCUGAGAGGGUGACCGGCCACAUUGGGACUGAGACACGGCCCAAACUCC